UGCCAGCAGCCGCGGUAAUACAGAGGGUGCAAGCGUUAAUCGGACUUACUGGGCGUAAAGGGUGCGUAGGCGGUGAUAUGAGUCAGCUGUGAAAGACCUGGGCUUAACCUGGGAUGGUCAGUUGAUACUGUAUUACUCGAGUCGAACAGAGGGGAGCGGAAUUUCCGGUGUAGCGGUGAAAUGCGUAGAUAUCGGAAGGAACACCAGUGGCGAAGGCGGCUCUCUGGGUUCAGACUGACGCUGAGGCACGAAAGCGUGGGUAGCGAACAGGAUUAGAUA
Molecule: ribosomal RNA, 279 nt
Filed under: uncultured bacterium
Lineage: Bacteria
Description: partial 16S ribosomal RNA
Rfam family: Bacterial small subunit ribosomal RNA
Source: RNAcentral